RNAcentral lists this ribosomal RNA (709 nucleotides) under uncultured Eubacteriales bacterium. RNAcentral describes it as "bacterial SSU rRNA". It matches the Rfam family "Bacterial small subunit ribosomal RNA", at positions 43 to 753 of the family's 1533-position model. The record is from RNAcentral. Lineage: Bacteria; Bacillati; Bacillota; Clostridia; Eubacteriales.
CGUGCAUAACACAUGCAAGUCGAACGAUGAAACUUAAAAGAUUUCUUCGGAAUGAACUUAAGUGGAUUAGUGGCGAACGGGUGAGUAACGCGUGAGUAACCUGCCUUACACAAGGGGAUAGCCUCUGGAAACGGAGAAUAAUACCCUAUGACAUUACAACCUCGCAUGAGGAAGUAAUCAAAGUGUUUUAGCGGUGUAAGAUGGACUUGCGUCUGAUUAGCUAGUUGGUGAGAUAACAGCCCACCAAGGCAACGAUCAGUAGCCGGCUUGAGAGAGUGUACGGCCACAUUGGGACUGGGACACGGCCCAGACUCCUACGGGAGGCAGCAGUGGGGAAUUUUGCACAAUGGGGGCAACCCUGAUGCAGCGACGCCGCGUGAUUUAGAAGGCCUUCGGGUUGUAAAAAUCUUUUGUAUAGGAAGAAAAUGACAGUACUAUACGAAUAAGGUCCGGCUAAUUACGUGCCAGCAGCCGCGGUAAUACGUAAGGACCGAGCGUUGUCCGGAAUCAUUGGGCGUAAAGGGUACGUAGGCGGUUAGAAAAGUUAGAAGUGAAAGGCUAUAGCUCAACUAUAGUAAGCUUUUAAAACUGUUUAACUUGAGAGAUGGAAGGGAAAGUGGAAUUCCUAGUGUAGCGGUGAAAUGCGCAGAUAUUAGGAGGAAUACCGGUGGCGAAGGCGACUUUCUGGCCAUUAUCUGACGCUGAGGUA